This 447-nucleotide ribosomal RNA is filed under the name uncultured bacterium. RNAcentral's name for it is "partial 16S ribosomal RNA". It matches the Rfam family "Bacterial small subunit ribosomal RNA", at positions 29 to 523 of the family's 1533-position model. The record is from RNAcentral.
AGCGAACGCUGGCGGCAGGCUUAACACAUGCAAGUCGAACGCCCCGCAAGGGGAGUGGCAGACGGGUGAGUAACACGUGGGAACGUACCCUUUGGUUCGGAAUAACUUGGGGAAACUCAAGCUAAUACCGGAUAAGCCCUUAUGGGGAAAGGUUUACUCCCGAAGGAUCGGCCCGCGUCUGAUUAGCUAGUUGGUGAGGUAAUGGCUCACCAAGGCGACGAUCAGUAGCUGGUCUGAGAGGAUGAUCAGCCACACUGGGACUGAGACACGGCCCAGACUCCUACGGGAGGCAGCAGUGGGGAAUAUUGGACAAUGGGGGCAACCCUGAUCCAGCCAUGCCGCGUGAGUGAUGAAGGCCUUAGGGUUGUAAAGCUCUUUUACCCGGGACGAUAAUGACUGUACCGGGAGAAUAAGCCCCGGCUAACUUCGUGCCAGCCGCCGCCGCGG